Molecule: long non-coding RNA, 362 nt
Organism: Phyllopteryx taeniolatus (common seadragon)
Lineage: Eukaryota; Metazoa; Chordata; Actinopteri; Syngnathiformes; Syngnathidae
Exons: 3
Source: RefSeq, a predicted model, not a curated record
GGAUAAGCCGGACCGACCGGUUUUUGCUUGUUGUUUUUUUCUCAUUAGCAAUGCGGAAGCGGAGGAGGACAUCCGAGGUGCGCGGCGGCGUGCUUCGUGAACGCGCGUCCUUUCAAGAGCUUCGCCUUCGAAACCUGACAGCGAGGAGGAGCAGGAGCUUUAGGUCCAUCGAGAAGAGACGGAGGAGGUCCGAAGAGACGUGACGACCACGUUAGCGUGGGAGGCGUCCGAGGUGCAUAAGAAGUAGCAGGAAGGGCAGCGGGGAAAAGUGCUUCUAUGUACAAGCCGGCAUGUUAGGGGAGAGGGUGUUCCAACACAAAGUCGCUCUUCCUCCGAGGCUCACGCUGAUUGCCAGAAGACCG